UUCCGGUUGAUCCAGCCGGAGGUCACUGCUAUUGGGAUUCGGCUAAGCCAUGCAAGCGGAGGGCGCGGUCGAAAGAUCGUGGCCCCGCACACUGCUCAGUAACACGUAGUCAACCUACCCUUGGGACGGGGACAACCUCGGGAAACUGAGGCUAAUACCCGAUAGGUGAGGGACGCUGGGAUGCCUCCUCGCCCAAAGCUCCGGCGCCCAAGGAUGGGACUGCGGUCUAUCAGGCUGUUGGUGGUGUAACGGACCACCAAACCUACGACGGGUACGGGCGAUGGGAGUCGGAGCCCGGAGAUGGGGACUGAGACAAGGCCCCAGGCCCUACGGGGCGCAGCAGGCGCGAAAACUCCGCAAUGCGCGCAAGCGUGACGGGGGGAUCCCAAGUGCCGUUGGUCUUUCGAUCGACGGUUUUUAGGAAGUCUAAGAAGCUUCCAGAAUAAGGGCUGGGCAAGACUGGUGCCAGCCGCCGCGGUAACACCAGCAGCCCAAGUGGUGGCCACGAUUAUUGGGCCUAAAGCGCUCGUAGCCGGAUCAGCAAGUCCCUUGUGAAAUCGGGCCGCCUAACGGUUCGGCGUGCAAGGGAUACUGUUGGUCUUGAGGCCGGGAGAGGUCGGAGGUACUCCUGGGGUAGCGGUGAAAUGCUCUAAUCCUAGGGGGACCACCAGUGGCGAAGGCGUCCGACCAGAACGGACCUGACGGUGAGGGGCGAAGGCUAGGGGAGCGAACGGGAUUAGAUACCCCGGUAGUCCUAGCUGUAAAGCAUGCGGGCCAGGUGUCUAGUGCUCCUUGAGGGCACUAGGUGCCGGAGGGAAGCCGUUAAGCCCGCCGCCUGGGAAGUACGGCCGCAAGGCUGAAACUUAAAGAAAUUGGCGGGGGAGCACCACAAGAGUGGGACCUGCGGUUCAAUUGGACUCAACGCCGGA
Molecule: ribosomal RNA, 929 nt
Filed under: uncultured archaeon
Lineage: Archaea
Description: bacterial SSU rRNA
Rfam family: Archaeal small subunit ribosomal RNA
Source: RNAcentral